RNAcentral lists this microRNA precursor (59 nucleotides) under Acyrthosiphon pisum (pea aphid). RNAcentral's name for it is "microRNA api-mir-998 precursor". Its record names the gene api-mir-998. Lineage: Eukaryota; Metazoa; Arthropoda; Insecta; Hemiptera; Aphididae. The record is from miRBase by way of RNAcentral.
GCUGAAUUUUACGAGUGCCGCAUGUAAUGUAUGUCUUGUAGCACCAUGGAAUUCAGCUG